RNAcentral lists this ribosomal RNA (502 nucleotides) under uncultured bacterium. Its description in RNAcentral is "partial 16S ribosomal RNA". It matches the Rfam family "Bacterial small subunit ribosomal RNA", at positions 28 to 507 of the family's 1533-position model. The record is from RNAcentral.
GAUGAAUGCUGGCGGCGUGCCUAACACAUGCAAGUCGAGCGGCAGCGAGUUUUACACUGAAUUCUGGAAGCUUCUGAGUAGUACAGAAGAUUUAUUCAAGAGUUUUGUGUAAAAUGUCGGCGAGCGGUGGACGGCUGAGUAACGCGUAGGAAUUUGCCCCAAAGUGAGGAAUAACUGCCCGAAAGGGUAGCUAAUGCCGCAUAUGGUCUUCGGAUUAAAGCCUUCGGGCGCUUUGGGAGAAGCCUGCGUUGGAUUAGGUAGUUGGUAGGGUAAUGGCCUACCAAGCCGACGAUCCAUAGCUGGUCUGAGAGGAUGAUCAGCCAGACUGGAACUGAGACACGGUCCAGACUCCUACGGGAGGCAGCAGUGAGGAAUCUUCCACAAUGGGCGAAAGCCUGAUGGAGCAACGCCGCGUGAAGGAUGAAGGCCUUCGGGUUGUAAACUUCUUUUAUGAGUGAAGAAUAUGACGGUAACUCAUGAAUAAGCACCGGCUAACUACGUG